This 629-nucleotide ribosomal RNA is filed under the name Cardiocladius sp. Sn1. RNAcentral's name for it is "eukaryotic LSU rRNA". It matches the Rfam family "Eukaryotic large subunit ribosomal RNA", at positions 386 to 947 of the family's 3401-position model. RNAcentral also lists the same sequence under 1 other name. The record is from RNAcentral. Lineage: Eukaryota; Metazoa; Arthropoda; Insecta; Diptera; Chironomidae.
GAGAGAUUCAAUAUUGAUGAAAGUCAAUGUGCACUUCUCUCUUAGUAAGACGCCGUGAUCCAUUAGAAAUUGGAUCAUACCAAUGAUUAUUUGGCUAUCAAUAGGCCGACAUGAAGUUCAUCAAUACAAAUAACUUGAUCUUAAAUGGUUGGGUAUAUUGUAUGGUGAGCAUGUUGUAACCUGCUUAAUAGCUGUCUGAUGGAUUUUAAAGGUCAUGUUAUUGAUGUCUUGUGCAUCACUCAUUUAUGAGAAUAAGACAUGUGCCCGAUCAACGGCGGUAAACUUUGGGAUACCUUUUGGACCCGUCUUGAAACACGGACCAAGGAGUCUAUCUAGUAUGCAAGUAAAUGAGCAUAUUAAACUUAUUUGCAGAAGAAACUUGACUGUUUAUGGGACUACGAGUAACAUUCACGUGUUGCUCCUCAAUCCCGGGGUAUUUUUAUCAACAUAUGCAGCAAUGUAUAUGGAAAAUAUACCAUGAGCAUACUGGAUAUGACCCGAAAGAUGGUGAACUAUGCCUGAUCAGGUUGAAGUCAGGGGAAACCCUGAUGGAGGACCGAAGCAAUUCUGACGUGCAAAUCGAUUGUCAGAAUUGGGCAUAGGGGCGAAAGACCAAUCGAACCAUCUAG